This 2029-nucleotide ribosomal RNA is filed under the name human gut metagenome. RNAcentral describes it as "bacterial LSU rRNA". It matches the Rfam family "Bacterial large subunit ribosomal RNA", at positions 492 to 2524 of the family's 2925-position model. The record is from RNAcentral.
GAACCAGUACUGUGAAGGAAAGGCGAAAAGAACCCCGGGAGGGGAGUGAAAUAGAACCUGAAACCGCAUACAUACAAACAGUAGGAGCCCGUGUAGUCGGGUGACUGCGUACCUUUUGCAUAAUGGGUCAGCGACUUACGUUUUGUGGCGAGCUUAACCGAGUAGGGGAGGCGUAGCGAAAGCGAGUUCGAAUAGAGCGAGAAGUCUCAAGGCGUAGACCCGAAACCAGAUGAGCUAUCCAUGGCCAGGUUGAAGGUGUGGUAACACACACUGGAGGACCGAACCGACUAGUGUUGCAAAAUUAGCGGAUGAGCUGUGGAUAGGGGUGAAAGGCUUAACAAAUCUGGAGAUAGCUGGUUCUCCCCGAAAACUAUUGAGGUAGUGCCUCGUGUAUUGCUCCAGGGGGUAGAGCACUGUUAUGGCUAGGGGGACAUGGCGUCUUACCAAACCAUGGCAAACUCCGAAUACUUGGAAGUAAGAGCACGGGAGACAGAGCACCGGGUGCUAACGUCCGGACUCAAGAGGGAAACAACCCAGACCGCCGUUUAAGGUCCCAAAUAUUGACUAAGUGGAAAACGAAGUGUGAAGGCUAAGACAGUCAGGAAGUUGGCUUAGAAGCAGCCAUCCUUCAAAGAAAGCGUAAUAGCUCACUGAUCGAGUCCUCAUGCGCGGAAGAUGUAACGGGGCUAAGUCAAUAACCGAAAGCGCGGAUUUGUACGAAAGUACAAGUGGUAGGGGAGCGUUCUGUAAGCCUGCGAAGGUGGUUCGAGAGGACUGCUGGAGGUAUCAGAAGUGCGAAUGCUGACAUGAGUAACGUUAAAGCGGGUGAAAAGCCCGCUCGCCGUAAGCCCAAGGUUUCCUGCUCUACGUUCAUCGGAGCAGGGUGAGUCGGCCCCUAAGGCCAGGCUGAGAAGCGUAGUCGAUGGGAAGCAGAUUAAUAUUUCUGCACCAUGUGCAAGUGCGAUGGGGGGACGGAGUGCGAAAGAUCAUCCGGGUGUUGGAUGUCCCGGUUUGUGAGUGUAGAAGGCCGACAGGCAAAUCCGUCGGCGGAUCUUCGAGACAAAGCAUCGAGGUUCUACGGAACCGAAGUGAUCGGAAGUGCUUCCAGGAAAAGCCUCUAAGCUCCAGCUUGCAUGUGACCGUACCGUAAACCGACACUGGUGGGCGAGUUGAAUAUACUCAGGCGCUUGAGAGAACUCGGGAGAAGGAACUCGGCAAAUUGACACCGUAACUUCGGGAUAAGGUGUGCCUUUGUAGCGUGAAGAGAGAAACACUCGGAGCGUGAAGAGGCCUCAGAGAAUCGGUGGCUGCAACUGUUUAUUAAAAACACAGCACUCUGCAAAGACGAAAGUCGACGUAUAGGGUGUGAUGCCUGCCCGGUGCUGGAAGAUUAAGUGAUGGGGUGAGAGCUCCUGAUCGAAGUCCCAGUAAACGGCGGCCGUAACUAUAACGGUCCUAAGGUAGCGAAAUUCCUUGUCGGGUAAGUUCCGACCUGCACGAAUGGCAUAAUGAUGGCCACACUGUCUCCUCCCGAGACUCAGUGAAGUUGAAAUGUUUGUGAUGAUGCAAUCUCCCCGCGGCUAGACGGAAAGACCCCAUGAACCUUUACUGUAGCUUUGCAUUGGACUUUGAACCGAUUUGUGUAGGAUAGGCGGGAGGCAGAGAAAGCGCAACGCCAGUUGUGCCGGAGCCGACGUUGAAAUACCGCCCUGAUUUGUUUGAGGUUCUAACCGCGACCCGUGAGCCGGGUUCGGGACCGUGCAUGGCAGGCAGUUUGACUGGGGCGGUCUCCUCCUAAAGGGUAACGGAGGAGUGCGAAGGUACGCUAGGUACGGUCGGAAAUCGUGCUGAUAGUGCAAUGGCAAAAGCGUGCUUGACUGCGAGACCGACAAGUCGAGCAGAUGCGAAAGCAGGUCUUAGUGAUCCGGUGGCUCUGUAUGGAAGGGCCAUCGCUCAACGGAUAAAAGGUACUCUGGGGAUAACAGGCUGAUACCGCCCAAGAGUUCAUAUCGACGGCGGUGUUUGGCAC